GGAAACAUAAUUUCAUCUCUUUCAAGAAAGACAAAAGUCUCUAUAUGCACAGACCAUCAAAUCGGCUGCAUUACCUACUUCAGUUGUCUUCUUCAUUUCAAAACUUCAAAAACAUCAAAACAAAUUCUCUCUCUUCCAAAAAUUUUCAUCAAACAUUCUUCAUCUAUACCCAAAUCAGCGAAGAUGUUCAACUAUACCCAGAAUCACCGGCCAAAAAAUCGCUUAAAGAUCUUCAAAAUCGCCGUAGAAUAUCAACGAACGCCGGAGAUAUUCAAGAAUCACCGGAGAAUUUCAACGGUCACCGCCGGAAAAAAAUCAGGCUAAAAACGAGAGGAUUUCAGGGAUGAAACAUGGUGGUUUUUACAGAGAGAGAUGCAGGGAUGGGAUGGUGGUGAUGAGUCAACUUGUGCAGAUUUAUUUUUGUAUUGAUUUAUAUAUUUAUAUGAAGAAGAUUAUUUGUUUUCAGUUAGAAUGAUGUUAGGAUCUGAUGUUUAUAUAACAAAUAAAUGUAACUAGCAAAACAUAUAUGAAUAUAGGAUUUGUUACA
This is a long non-coding RNA of Helianthus annuus (common sunflower), 547 nucleotides long. RefSeq lists it as uncharacterized. The transcript is spliced from 2 exons. Lineage: Eukaryota; Viridiplantae; Streptophyta; Magnoliopsida; Asterales; Asteraceae. The record is from RefSeq and is a predicted model, not a curated record.